Molecule: ribosomal RNA, 139 nt
Filed under: uncultured bacterium
Lineage: Bacteria
Description: partial 16S ribosomal RNA
Rfam family: Bacterial small subunit ribosomal RNA
Source: RNAcentral
UGGGGGAGUAUUGCACAAUGGGGGAAACCCGUGAUGCAGCAACGCCGCGUGAGUGAAGAAGGUCUUCGGAUUGUAAAGCUCUGUUCUUGGUGAAGAUAAUGACGGUAGCCAAGGAGAAAGCUCCGGCUAACUACGUGCC